AGUAAAAGCAUGUGAACAAAGAAUGACCUUGACUAGGGGAGUCAGUGACAGUUCUGUGCUGUGAGUUGACGGAAAUCAGUUUCCCACGUGAGGUGGUGGCCGGAUGUCUGUGCUGCUCCUGGUGGAACAGAAGCGCUCGUGUCUGCUUCGUGUCACUAGCAGGCACUUUCUUAUGGAGGGAGAAGCAACACGGGGCCGGCUGGGGUGUCAGAUGAUGGGAUGUCUUCCCGAAGGCCCUCGUCUCACGUGAGACAUGUGCAGUGGGUCACGUGCUGACGUCCUGGCCGGCGUGGACAGCCGAACCCUUAGGUGAAUGGGGAG
Myotis brandtii (Brandt's bat) is the source of this 321-nucleotide long non-coding RNA. RefSeq lists it as uncharacterized. Lineage: Eukaryota; Metazoa; Chordata; Mammalia; Chiroptera; Vespertilionidae. The transcript is spliced from 3 exons. The record is from RefSeq and is a predicted model, not a curated record.